Molecule: ribosomal RNA, 439 nt
Filed under: uncultured delta proteobacterium
Lineage: Bacteria; Deltaproteobacteria
Description: bacterial SSU rRNA
Rfam family: Bacterial small subunit ribosomal RNA
Source: RNAcentral
AGAGUUUGAUCCUGGCUCAGAUUGAACGCUGGCGGUAUGCUUAAGACAUGCAAGUCGAACGGAAGCCCUCGGGCUUCAGUGGCGGACGGGUGAGUAACACGUGGGAAUCUACCCAAUAGUGGGGGACAGCCCGGCGAAAGCCGGAUUAAUACCGCAUACGCCCUACGGGGGAAAGGCGCAAGCCGCUAUUGGAUGAGCCCGCGUAAGAUUAGCUAGUUGGUAAGGUAAAGGCUUACCAAGGCGACGAUCUUUAGCUGGUCUGAGAGGAUGGCCAGCCACAUCGGGACUGAGACACGGCCCGGACUCCUACGGAAGGCAGCAGUCGGGAAUAUUGGACAAUGGGCGCAAGCCUGAUCCAGCAAUACCGCGUGUGUGAAGAAGGCCUGCGGGUUGUAAAGCACUUUCAGUUGGGAAGAUAAUGACGUACCAACAGAAGAAG